RNAcentral lists this long non-coding RNA (243 nucleotides) under Homo sapiens (human). RNAcentral's name for it is "HSALNT0209966". Lineage: Eukaryota; Metazoa; Chordata; Mammalia; Primates; Hominidae. The record is from RNAcentral.
AAUUGAGCUGUUCAGAAUGUGUGAAACAAUUUUAAGGUGAAGUCAAAGAUACUUGAAGCAGAAGCUGUAUCUGAGGAAGCUGUAUAUAAACCCAAUUUAAAGCAAGUUUAACCUGCUGAUUGGGAAGAAUUUUUAUGAAAAGCUGUGUGCUUCCUGAUAAGAAAAAAGGCUUUCCUGUUUCGAUCAAACCAGAACCAGAUGAGAACUCAGCACAGGCACUGCAGCCACGGAGGUUUCCAGAUA